Molecule: long non-coding RNA, 1228 nt
Organism: Homo sapiens (human)
Lineage: Eukaryota; Metazoa; Chordata; Mammalia; Primates; Hominidae
Exons: 2
Source: RefSeq, a predicted model, not a curated record
AGCAGGCUGAAUCUAAAACUGGCCUGGUCUAUAAGGCCGUUCCUCAGAUGAUCUGACAGCCCAUGGAUUAAUUCUGUGUCACUUUCAAACAGGGCAAUAGAGUUGUCAAGACUUGAUAAAGCCCAAUAAUAUUUCUAAUAACAAGUAAACUGAAAGCCCAGCUGGGCACUGAUUCUUAUUUUGUGUUGGGCUCCCAGGCCAGCCUACAACGAUGUGUUCCUUUGCAUUCAACAAACAUUCACAGCCAGGCUUCCUAAGCUGGAGUCCCUGGAUGUGUGCUUUGCAGAUCUUGGCUGUAAAGUAUCUCACUGGUCUUUCUCUCUGGCACCUCUUGUUAUGCCUCCAGCUGCAGCCAAGCAUCUGGGCCUUGGUCACCGAGUGCUGUGAUUGCAGGCACUCUGUGCUGACAAGUGACUUGGUUGCCUCAGACCAGGUGUGACUCAUUAUUUUCCUCCUGACAUUCCAAGCACUGAAGUAAAUGAUUGAUGGAGGGAAAGAUCCAAAGUGUCAGAGAAGUCUCUCUCUUGGCCGUGAAUAACAGGCUACCUUGAAUUGGUGUUUCCUUUGCGUAUUUUGUUUCUAAGCAAAUCGAGUCCCAGGUAGAGUUUUGCCCUUGAGCAGCUUCAUGAGGUCAAGGAGGGGCGCUCACUCCACUCUGCACGGAAACACUGAGUGGAAUGAAAAUACAACCGGAGAGAAUGUCCUCCCCACCAGAAGGUCGCCUCGAGACAGGCCUCCACGCAUCGUUGCUGACCUCACACAGUGAUACCUCUGCAUGCCGGGGAGCAAUUCCAUCCAAAUGUGGGGAGGUCUGGGAGGUUAAACCGUUUCCUCCAGAUCACAUUCCCGGGAAGACGAACCCAGCUGUGCCUGACUGCUCCUUUCUUCUCACUGCUUCUGCGGAGGUGGAGACGCCCGCGUAGCCCGUGUUGUCUUCCUCUGCCCACUCCAGGCCAAGCAUCCCCCUUCCUGUCACGCGCUCUUUGAUGGCUUCACUGUCCUGGACACCCCCUCAGAUCUGUGCUGUCUCAGAGAAAGCAAGCGAGAAUGGGCCCACGGUGCUCCUCGUCUUUGGAAAUGGAUUUUACCUUUAUAAGUGAGAGCUUUCAGAGGCACAGAGUCCUGGGGCUGCAUAGGAACAGGGGGCCUGGUCGGGGCUCUUUUCCUUUCCGGGACCUCUUUCUCUAUAAAGAAAAUAAAAAUGCGAUUUGAGGACUGUUGGUACAAA